UGGGGAAUAUUGGACAAUGGGCGAAAGCCUGAUCCAGCCAUGCCGCGUGUGUGAAGAAGGUCUUCGGAUUGUAAAGCACUUUAAGUUGGGAGGAAGGGCAGUAAGCGAAUACCUUGCUGUUUUGACGUUACCGACAGAAUAAGCACCGGCUAACUCUGUGCCAGCAGCCGCGGUAAUAUAGAGGGUGCAAGCGUUAAUCGGAAUUACUGGGCGUAAAGCGCGCGUAGGUGGUUCGUUAAGUUGAAUGUGAAAGCCCCGGGCUCAACCUGGGAACUGCAUCCAAAACUGGCGAGCUAGAGUAGGGCAGAGGGUGGUGGAAUUUCCUGUGUAGCGGUGAAAUGCGUAGAUAGAGGAAGGAACACCAGUGGCGAAGGCGACCACCUGGGCUCAUACUGACACUGAGGUGCGAAAGCGUGGGGAGCAAACAGG
This 429-nucleotide ribosomal RNA is filed under the name Pseudomonadota bacterium. Its description in RNAcentral is "Proteobacteria bacterium partial 16S ribosomal RNA". It matches the Rfam family "Bacterial small subunit ribosomal RNA", at positions 355 to 776 of the family's 1533-position model. Lineage: Bacteria; Pseudomonadati; Pseudomonadota. The record is from RNAcentral.